This 98-nucleotide microRNA precursor is filed under the name Carica papaya (papaya). RNAcentral describes it as "miR8144 stem-loop (cpa-MIR8144)". Lineage: Eukaryota; Viridiplantae; Streptophyta; Magnoliopsida; Brassicales; Caricaceae. The record is from miRBase by way of RNAcentral.
AUUUCUAAUUUAAUUUAUGUGUUUUCUAUUAUAAACGAGGAAAACUAUUCAAACGGUCUUCAGAUUUUCGAGAGAACAGUAGAACGAGUUAGAAAGGA